UGUUUUCUGUGUGUGUGGGACUCGUCGCCUUUGUGGGAAAUCCGUGUGGCACUUGUUUGGUGUUGUUGGCAGACUUCGGUCUUGCCUUCACACACGUUUCACAUGUGUCAUGCCUUCCCUCAACUCACGGCAUCCAGGAAUGAAGGAGGGUAGUUCGGGGGAGAACGUACUGGUGCGUCAGAGGUGAAAUUCUUAGACCGCACCAAGACGGAUGACACCCAUGAAUUGGGGAGUUUUUGGUCGUAGGCGUGGUCGGGCUUGAUUAUAUUAUUUUUCAUCCCGUUCCUCGUCUCGCCAAUGAAUAUAUUAA
RNAcentral lists this ribosomal RNA (310 nucleotides) under Trypanosoma cruzi. RNAcentral describes it as "bacterial SSU rRNA". Lineage: Eukaryota; Euglenozoa; Kinetoplastea; Trypanosomatida; Trypanosomatidae. The record is from RNAcentral.